RNAcentral lists this ribosomal RNA (430 nucleotides) under uncultured bacterium. RNAcentral describes it as "partial 16S ribosomal RNA". It matches the Rfam family "Bacterial small subunit ribosomal RNA", at positions 354 to 796 of the family's 1533-position model. The record is from RNAcentral.
GUGGGGAAUAUUGCACAAUGGGCGAAAGCCUGAUGCAUCGACGCCGCGUGAGGGAUGACGGCCUUCGGGUUGUAAACCUCUUUCAGCAGGGACGAAGCGCAAGUGACGGUACCUGCAGAAGAAGCACCGGCUAACUACGUGCCAGCAGCCGCGGUAAUACGUAGGGUGCAAGCGUUGUCCGGAAUUACUGGGCGUAAAGAGUUCGUAGGCGGUUUGUCGCGUCGUUUGUGAAAACCAGCAGCUCAACUGCUGGCUUGCAGGCGAUACGGGCAGACUUGAGUACUGCAGGGGAGACUGGAAUUCCUGGUGUAGCGGUGAAAUGCGCAGAUAUCAGGAGGAACACCGGUGGCGAAGGCGGGUCUCUGGGCAGUAACUGACGCUGAGGAACGAAAGCGUGGGUAGCGAACAGGAUUAGAUACCCCGGUAGUCC